RNAcentral lists this unclassified non-coding RNA (248 nucleotides) under Hevea brasiliensis (rubber tree). The record is from RNAcentral. Lineage: Eukaryota; Viridiplantae; Streptophyta; Magnoliopsida; Malpighiales; Euphorbiaceae.
UUUUUGGUGUCUAAAAAAGAAAAACUAAAUUCUCUCAAAUACUGAAGACCAAAGGCAGAGGGUUUUUCUCUUCCAUUCUCUCUCUCCAUCUCUCAAUUUACAGUUCAGGGUUUGGUUCUGGAUCGUUGAUUCUUGAAUCGAUUGAUGGAGGAGGGGUUUAUGAAUUCUAGGGUCUCCUACUGAUGGAACUAUGUAUCCAUUUCCCCGUAAUCAGUGGGUUUGCCUCUUUUGAUCUUUUUUCCUGCCUG